GCCCGGUUUCGGCGAUGGGUUAUAGGGUCCGCGUCAGCCCCGCGCCCGCACAGCCAACGUCACGCCGCAUUCUUAUUUCCAAAGACCCCUGGAGCUUGGGGUCCCACCCCAGCGGUCUUUCGGGGCGUCCCCUGCCCUUCACGCGCCGCGCCGGCUCGGCCCGAAGCGCCCUGCGGACCCGCAGCCUGGGCCGCCCCGAACCUGACGGCCCCGCGGGGGUCGGACGCGGGAGGAACGGCCUCGCUUUCAGAGACGCAGCGGGAGGGCGGUCCCCGCUGUCCCUCUGGCCGGGUCCUCAGCACGCGUUCUCCUCACUCCCAGGACUAGCGAGCGGCGGGCGCGGACCGGGGCCUGGGGUCGGAGGCGGCGCAGCCAGAAAGGCCCCAGCGGCGCUGAGACGUUUGGGGGAAGGCGGGGGCUUCGCGUUUCGAUGGCGGGAAGCGGAAUGAGGUUGGACCGGCCGGGCCGGCGUUCAGGGACCCGGCGGGAGGCGGAGGGCUGGCGUCCUCGCGGACAUCCAUCUGCAGCGAACCAGGCAGAGGCUUUGGGAUUAGAUCCUUGACUCCUUGCGUCAGUAGUUAAGCUUUGUGAUGGUCUGAGGUCCAUGAAGGGAUUAAAACCAGGAACUGGCUCCUUCUCCAACCACUAAAGCCUCAUCUGGGCCCACAAGCCCUGGCUGUUCCCUGGAGCGUGACUGGAAGAUGUGAGCAGCUUUGUGCUGGAGCCCCAUUUCCAUGGUGCAUGCUGCUGCCAAACCAGAGAUCACUUGUAGACUUGAAAGGGAACAUGAGCUUUGGGUGAAGGAUUCCCAGCCCCCAACAGAGGCCAAAAAGCUACCACCCAGCCAGGUAAGCCUUGAUGGAACAUCUCUUGCACAAAGAUCACCAUGUUCAUUGAGCCUUUAGUGCCUCCUGGGCUCUGAUCAACCCACGAAUCAGUAUCUCCGCAGCACUUCCUGUGGUUUGGAUUCAGGUUUUUUACUUCUGUUUCCUGCCUUUAUGAUAGGAGUUUGGGUAACCUGUGAGAAACACAGCCACAGUGUAAACCUCUUGAGACAAGCUACACUGAUGGGACAAUCAGGGUGAGGGCAAUCCGGCGCCGUGGCUAUGUCAGCUCAUGUGUGCUCUUUCAGGAGGACAUGUCUCACAGACACAGAUCUUCAGCUCUGACAUGCUCGAUCUCACAAGCCCUUUUCUGAAACCUCCAUCAUGUGCUUUCUGAUUCUCUACAGGCAGAAGGAACAUAAAGUAUGCAUUUUAUGAUACGACUCAGCUUGGAGGGAUGAAGUAGAAGGUCCUCACUGCACCUCAUGGCAGGCUGCUGACGGCAGAUAUUUUACCGGGCUCACUGAACUGGGCAGUCAGGGAAGGGUCGGCUCCUGCUCUGUCCAGCUGUCUUCAUAAGGGACUCUGUGACACUUUUUAUAAAAAUGACUUUGAUUUCUGCAUAAGAAGGCUUCCCAAGCUUGCUGUCUAGCAGUGGCUGCUACAGGGAAUUAUUCACAUGGCAGCAAGAGAGCCCUGGCUCCCUGGACCAGGACAUUCCCUUUGUGUGUGUUGGAAUGAGAGCAGGAGGAGUGCUGGUCAGAAGCCCCUCCCCAGGGCUCUGGGACUUCAGUGUUCUCAGACAAACUGGGCCGCUCCUCUGAGCUGGGAUGCUGACCCACACUUGGCCCCGGCUCUGGCAUCCACAGGACGCUGCCUUAUCCGUCAUCUCGCUGGGGCUGGGGGCUAGAGGCUGAGCAGGUCACACUGAACAAAAGAAGUGUGUCCCCAUCACUAGGCUAACAUCUGAGUUUCUUCCACAGUAUUUGGUAACACAGUCAGAAACAAGACUGAAGAUGAUUCUGGAGGCAACUGGGAACCCCCCAGAACGAUUCUGCAGGCUUCUGGGAAGCUGAAAAACCCCAAGGCCAGACUGGCCUCAGAAUGCCUGAGUCCUUUUGAUUCCACUGGAAAAGCCAUCCAUCUGUGCCAAGUGUGUGGAGAGCUUCAAGAGCCAUAUAGCCCUGGCCACCAUGAGCACAGCCACGUGGGGGAGUAGUCCUGAAAGUGUCCUGGUGUGGCAAAGGCUUUCCACUAAGUGGACCUCAGAUGGCACAGGAAGACCCUCCUGGGGAUGUGGGAGGACACUGCCUAGUGGGUGAGGGGCCGCUCUUUCAGGUGUGCACACUAAAUGCAGAGACAGCCUCUCCUGGCUGCCAAGAAGCCUGUGCAUGAUCCAGGACCACAAAACACUUGCAAACUCACUGCCCAGAGGCCCUGUGCCUGUCUGGAGUGUGCCCAGUGUGUCUGCGCCCCACAGCUUGUCCUGGCCCGCCAGCAGAGCCGCAGCACUGCAGGGCCCUUCUGUUGUGAGUGCCAGGGCCCUUGCUGGCUGCCUGAGCAAGGCAAAAGGUUCAAAACAGGAAGUCUCUGGGCAGCUAUUCCCAGGUGCAGAGGGGAGCAGCGGCCACACAGGUGCCAGUGUGGCAGGAGCUGCAGUCAGAGGCAGCAUCUCAAGAGCCCUGGGAGCAGGGGCCAGCCACGUGAAGCCCACGAGUGUCGCUGGCACAGGGAAGGGACACGAGGAUCACACUGACCCAAGAGAAGGCCCACAGUGAGGAGGCCCCACCGAAGCAUCCCCAGCAACAGGGACUGAGGCAUCUGAGGCAGCCAGCCCACUCGGAAAGGCCUGCUGACUGCACUCCAGAUGUCAAGAGCACCCUUGGGAAAAAGAAAGGCAGGAGUGCAGCACUUUCUAGAGCCUCAGCUCACUUCUCUCCUUCUAGCUCCAGCCGGAGUGAUGGAAGAGGCUGCGCUGGGAGCUGCCUCCCUGGGAGCCUACCCUGCCCAGCCUGAGAGUGGAGGCUACCAGCAUCACGCUUCCCCUAGUGAAAUCCAUCUGUCCUGAAGGGAACCCUGGGACGGGGUCAAGGAAACCCUGUUCACCCCCACCACGGGGUCAGGUCUUCACCAAAGGGAGGCCGCACGGAUUCCCAGUCGCAAACCCAAAGCCUUGCUGCCUUUGCCUCUGUUUCCAUAGUUGUUUCAAUGUCUUUUUUAAAAAUCACAUACACUCGAGUAAGACUGAGUCUCCUCACCGAAGAGAUCUGGCUGUAUCCCGAGUCUCUGAAACCUUUGCUCCAGUCCCGUGGGAGCGUGCCGUCCCGAGGAUGUGGAGCCGCAAGGGCUCGCCAGAGGGAUCUCAGGAGCUAGGCCUCAAGGAGCGCUGUUGAGUGACAGGUCUGAUGCAGUAGCUUUUACUAUUGGUGGAAAUCGAUGUUUUUUCCUUGAAAGUCUACCUUUCUAAGUUCAGUAAACCAAAUUAGAUCAUGUAUGUGAAAGCACUUUGUAAACUAUGCAGUACUCCAGAAAAGGCAGCCAAGCCCUUAAUUAUAACUCACCAAACAGCCAACUCUCAUCUUUACCUUCUAACUGGCAAAAAUGAUUGAGCUCACUUUGAAGGACUAGAGAGGAAAGAAACUGAAAGACAAAAAUCAGGUGAAUACACAGGCACUUCCCCUGCCCACCUCUGUUCCUGGCCCUGUCCCCUCGUGAGUGAGAGCAGAGCUCGUUCUGUCAGCUUCUCUGAGCUCCUGGUCCUCGCUUAGGGACACACAAGACAGAGAUGUGUUGAAAUAGACUCUGCUUUAUUCAGGUAGCAAAAGGUUAGGAAUCAAACAUGGUUUUUAAAACCUCCUUUCAUCUUUGAAAAUAGAGGAGAGAACAUCCCUGGGCCAGUCACAGUUACUGUAUUUGGCUAAGCACACACCUGUAUGAGGGACCCGCCCCUCCACACUGUUCUGAUAGGUACUUAGCACCCUAGAAACUCAUCCUCUGCAGGAGAGAGAAGCAAGGGUCUGGAGCGCGGUCACAUACUCUAAGGUAUCUUCCAGGACAGGGGGCUGGGCUCCCUCACUCCCACCUGGAGUCGCUAUGGCUAUUGGGAUCAAACUACCAGUUACAUACUGGUUACUUGGAAUGUCAGACCCGGUGGGUAUCAGUCAUCAGGGAGAGGGAGGGGAAAUGCCAGGACACGUACAUACGGAUGCUGUCAAGACUACAGGCAAGGAGGAGGGUGGCGACAAGCGCUGGGACUCCAGCCAAAGCGGGAGUGCAUGCUUCUUCCCCUCCCAGAGCCCUGUGGUUUUUCUUCUUGUGAGGCAUAAACAGGAAGCCUCUCCAACAAGGGGGUCUCCAGCACUAGGGGCUGAAACUCAGCCAGCCUCUCCAAACAAAGCAAAGGGGCCAGCCUGGGCCAGGGCCUCUGAUAAGGAUGCUCACUGUGUUUCCACGGGGGUCCUGAAUGAGGAAGUUCAGGAAUAAGAUGGCAGUCAUCUUCUUCCUUCUUGGCCAUUGGCUGACAAAGGGGAACGGAGCAGGCCUGUGCCCCUUGAGAAAUCGGGUAGUGCAAAUUUUAUGACAAACAGCAUUCUCAGUGGCCCCGCUGCACAGGGACCCCCCUUUCCCACCACCUAAGGAAGGCACUGGCCGGUGUCCUCGGAGCACGCUGAUGCUGACGUGGAGAGGGCGAGUUGCUUCCCCUAGCUUCCACCUCAGCUCCAGAACUACUCCCACAGAGACCCACUCACGGCUGCUCACAGGAUGGCCUCCUGCUCUGAGGGAUUCUUCAAGGAUGAAGAGGCCGCAGGAAGCAUGUGUGCUGGAACAGCACCUUGAUGUGGAAUCCCUGUGGGUAGGGCAGAGGCUAUAGCCCCACCUAAAAAAGCCUUUCUCCCUCCCUUUCCACGAGUUCACAUCCACAGUGCCUGACCUGGGCAAGUUCCUGAACGCCCAUGGAGACGGUGAUGGGGAGAAGGAGGCCUGUGUGUGCCUUAGCCACGCAGAUAGUAACACCUCCCAGAGCUCCCGCACCACAGGCCUGUGGGGUCCCUCUGACCGCCAGACCCACAGGGCUGGGAGACAUUUCCACAGGUCAAAGGCAGAAAGCAAGAAAGGAAUUCCUGACUAGAACUGAAAAUGACACGAAAGCAACAGUGCUAAGGCUAAGUACUGGGGUGGGGAUGAAAGGGCAGGUGGGGUACCAGGGUACCUGCGGUACCAGGGAGGGGCUCGGACGCCAGCAUCUACCCUGGGAAUGGGAAGGGUACUCAGACAGCAGCUUCUACCCUGGGAAUAGGAAGGGUACUCAGGUGCUCAGAUGCCAGCAUCUACCCUGGGAAUGGGAAGGGUACUCAGACAGCAGCUUCUACCCUGGGAAUAGGAAGGGUACUCAGGUGCUCAGAUGCCAGCAUCUACCCUGGGAAUGGGAAGCGGCAGACUAUGGAGAAAGGGCCCACCCACAGGGGCCUGCAGCACAGCACAGGACCUGCCUGAGCCAGGCAGCAAGCAAGCUGGGAUGGAUGGCGCCCACUUCCUGCCUGUUUAAAACAAGUAUCAGGCAGGGCAGAGAAACCCUGCCUGCUGACUUGCCUCAUUUCCUGCCCAUGGUUAAGGAAGGCAGAACCUAGACAAAAUCAUCCUCCUCCUGAUAAGCGGCCUCCUGAGCCUGCCAAGACGGAGCUGCCCUUGGAAGGAAAAGUGCUUCACUUUAGGUGGAAGGAAGAUCGGGGCGAGGAGGGUGUGAACCUAGCAGUGCCAGAAGCCCCUCUGUGCCUCUAGGGCGGUGGUUCUGUGGUUCUGAAGCUAGAGCAGGCCCAAAGUCCCUGGAGGAGGUUGUUCAAAGCCCUUGUCACUGAGCGCCCAUUCGGGGAUGUCUCAGUGGGCCCUGGAGAUCCUGGUGCAGAGUCCCCAGGGCAGCUCAGAGAAGAGUGGACUAGCCUGUCGUGCAGAUGGUGCAUUCAGAGAGCAACUCCUACAACAAGGACUUUGGAGACAAAUUCCUACCUGUCCCACUAAGGACGAGGAUGGGGCAGAUGGCAGCUAAGUCCACACUGCAGCCAGAGGUCUUUGAGGGAGCUCGAGGCUCUCAUUCACUAAUCCUAGGGCAGAUGGGGAGUCAGCAGGCACUUGGAUCUCUGCUGCCACUUCAUGGAGAGGGAAACUGAGGCACAAAGAGGAAGGGAUUAAUCAGACCACUGCCUGCAGCAGAGCUGGGGCUGCAUCCCAAGCCUCCCAACUCCAACUUCGUCCCAUCCUCUCCUGGGUAAACCGGGCCGGGCAUGCCACGGGUUAAACGCGGCUCGGCUCUCCGGGAAGCACCAGACCCCCUGCCAGAAGAGCCCAGCUCCACCAUCUGGAGCUGCAGGAAGAGAACUUUCUUGGGUGCUCUGUGCAAAGGGCUUGUGAUUGUUUCGCCCUAAAGGAAGCCCUGGGAAGAGGUAGAGUUCCGCACGAGACCACGGCCUCACUGCUUCUGCUGUGGGAGCCAGGGUAGGAAGUCCCAGAACAAUGCCUCUGGGGGCUCUUGCAGCCAGGCCAGCUGUCCCUAGAGCAGGGGCAACCUCCCCCUCUAACAAGGUGGUCUUUCCCAUUCCCACUUAGACUGUGGGCAGCCUCCCUGGAACAUUCCCCAGGGAUGUCCAACAGUCUCCCCUACCAGGACACUCCUCUUGCCACCAAAACUCAGGGGCUGAAACCUUUCAUGAUGGGGUUAUUUUCUGCAGCACCUUAAAAAUGAACUUGAGAUAUAGAACCUUCUGGCACAUUUGUGUGCUGUGAGGCAUGGCUGUGCUGAGUGGGGCCUCAGGAAACAGGUCAUGCACCUCCUGAUACCCCUGCUGCUCUGGGAUGCCACUGCCCACUUCCUGGUGCUUAGAGACCAUCGCCACCAGCAGAAGAUCCUAGGGCAGCCUAGAAUCUGCAGAGCCUGUCCCAGUGAUCACAGAGGCGUCUCCAAGGCAGUCCCAAGGACUCCCUGUCCCUCAGGACAUCCCGGGGGCCUCCUGGCUGGUGUGGGGAUACAGGAGUCUCUCGGGAGGCUCCAUGAUGCAGUCCUUCAGAACCUCCGCUGCUUCCCUGGAGGGCAGGAUGGGUGGCUUCUGGGUCCUGGGCUCCUCCACAUAGAGGGCUCCCAUCUCCUCCUUCCUGAGCCUGGCGCCUGUGAGGGAGGAAGGAGAAUACAAUUAGACUGACUGACAGUGACCGCCUUCCACAUCCAGCUUCGCCCAGGGGCUGUUUGGUGAGGAAAGCUUGGCAGAACAGACUGAAGUCAGGACCACGACUGCUCUUUGCAGCCCUCAUCUGUUGCUACUCUGUUCAUUCUUUUAUCCUGAGAUAGGGGAUCUCAACUGGGGGCGAUUUUGUCCCCCAGGGGCCAUUUGCCAAUGUCUGGAGAUGAUUUUUGUGGUCACAAAUGGGGUGUGUGCUACUGGUAUCCAGUGGUUAUCUAAUAGGUAGAGGCCAUGGAUGCUGCUCAAGUUCCCACAGUGAACAGGAAGGGCCCCCAACAGAGAUUACCCAGCCCCAGCAUCAACAAUGCCAAGGCUGAGAGCCCUG
Molecule: long non-coding RNA, 7379 nt
Filed under: Homo sapiens (human)
Lineage: Eukaryota; Metazoa; Chordata; Mammalia; Primates; Hominidae
Description: non-protein coding ATP6V0E2-AS1:19
Source: RNAcentral